UACGGGGGGGGCAAGCGUUGUUCGGAAUUACUGGGCGAAAGGGCUCGUAGGCGGCCAACUAAGUCAGACGUGAAAUCCCUCGGCUUAACCGGGGAACUGCGUCUGAUACUGGAUGGCUUGAGGUUGGGAGAGGGAUGCGGAAUUCCUGGUGUAGCGGUGAAAUGCGUAGAGAUCAGGAGGAACACCCAUGGCGAAGGCAGCGCUCUGGUCGGCAUCUGACGCUGAGAGGCGAAAGCGUGGGGAGCGAACGGG
Molecule: ribosomal RNA, 252 nt
Filed under: uncultured bacterium
Lineage: Bacteria
Description: partial 16S ribosomal RNA
Rfam family: Bacterial small subunit ribosomal RNA
Source: RNAcentral